AUUGAACGCUGGCGGCAUGCUUUACACAUGCAAGUCGGACGAGUGGCGGACGGGUGAGUAAUAUAUCGGAACGUACCGAGUAAUGGGGGAUAACUACUCGAAAGAUUAGCUAAUACCGCAUAUUAUUCGAGCUGCCGAUAUCGGAUUAGCUAGUUGGUGGGGUAAAGGCCUACCAAGGCGACGAUCAGUAGCGGGUCGGAGAGGAUGACCAGCCACACUGGGACUGAGACACGGCCCAGACUCCUACGGGAGGCAGCAGUGGGGAAUUUUGGACAAUGGGCGCAAGCCUGAUCCAGCCAUGCCGCGUGUAUGAAGAAGGCCUUCGGGUUGUAAAGGACUUUUGUCAGGGAAGCGGUACCUGAAGAAGAAGCACCGGCUAACUACGUGCCAGCAGCCGCGGUAAUAC
RNAcentral lists this ribosomal RNA (406 nucleotides) under uncultured bacterium. RNAcentral describes it as "partial 16S ribosomal RNA". It matches the Rfam family "Bacterial small subunit ribosomal RNA", at positions 30 to 526 of the family's 1533-position model. The record is from RNAcentral.